Molecule: ribosomal RNA, 254 nt
Filed under: uncultured bacterium
Lineage: Bacteria
Description: partial 16S ribosomal RNA
Rfam family: Bacterial small subunit ribosomal RNA
Source: RNAcentral
UACGAAGGGGGGCUAGCGUUGCUCGGAAUCACUGGGCGUAAAGCGCACGUAGGCGGAUCUUUAAGUCAGGGGUGAAAUCCUGGAGCUCAACUCCAGAACUGCCUUUGAUACUGAGGAGCUCGAGUCCGGAAGAGGUGAGUGGAACUGCGAGUGUAGAGGUGAAAUUCGUAGAUAUUCGCAAGAACACCAGUGGCGAAGGCGGCUCACUGGUCCGGUACUGACGCUGAGGUGCGAAAGCGUGGGGAGCAAACAGG